This 253-nucleotide ribosomal RNA is filed under the name uncultured bacterium. RNAcentral describes it as "partial 16S ribosomal RNA". It matches the Rfam family "Bacterial small subunit ribosomal RNA", at positions 524 to 776 of the family's 1533-position model. The record is from RNAcentral.
UACGAAGGGGGCUAGCGUUGCUCGGAAUCACUGGGCGUAAAGGGUGCGUAGGCGGGUCUUUAAGUCAGAGGUGAAAUCCUGGAGCUCAACUCUAGAACUGCCUUUGAUACUGAGGAUCUUGAGUACGGGAGAGGUGAGUGGAACUGCGAGUGUAGAGGUGAAAUUCGUAGAUAUUCGCAAGAACACCAGUGGCGAAGGCGGCUCACUGGCCCGAUACUGACGCUGAGGCACGAAAGCGUGGGGAGCAAACAGG